UACGUAGGUGGCAAGCGUUAUCCGGAUUUAUUGGGCGUAAAGGGAACGCAGGCGGUCUUUUAAGUCUGAUGUGAAAGCCUUCGGCUUAACCGGAGUAGUGCAUUGGAAACUGGGAGACUUGAGUGCAGAAGAGGGGAGUGGAACUCCAUGUGUAGCGGUGAAAUGCGUAGAUAUAUGGAAGAACACCAGUGGCGAAAGCGGCUCUCUGGUCUGUAACUGACGCUGAGGUUCGAAAGCGUGGGUAGCAAACGGG
Molecule: ribosomal RNA, 253 nt
Filed under: uncultured bacterium
Lineage: Bacteria
Description: partial 16S ribosomal RNA
Rfam family: Bacterial small subunit ribosomal RNA
Source: RNAcentral